AGAUUGAACGCUGGCGGCAUGCCUUACACAUGCAAGUCGAACGGUAGAGUAGCAAUACUUGAGAGUGGCGAACGGGUGAGUAAUAUAUCGGAACGUGCCCAGUCGUGGGGGGAUAACGUAGAGAAAUUUACGCUAAUACCGCAUACGAUCUAAGGAUGAAAGCGGGGGACCGUAAGGCCUCGCGCGAUUGGAGCGGCUGAUAUCAGAUUAGGUUGUUGGUGAGGUAAAAGCUCACCAAGCCGACGAUCUGUAGCUGGUUUGAGAGAACGACCAGCCACACUGGGACUGAGACACGGCCCAGACUCCUACGGGAGGCAGCAGUGGGGAAUUUGGACAAUGGGCGAAAGCCUGAUCCAGCAAUGCCGCGUGCAGGAAGAAGGCCUUCGGGUUAGUAACGUGUCUUUUUGUAACGGAACGGAAACGGUCGU
This 428-nucleotide ribosomal RNA is filed under the name uncultured soil bacterium. Its description in RNAcentral is "bacterial SSU rRNA". It matches the Rfam family "Bacterial small subunit ribosomal RNA", at positions 26 to 463 of the family's 1533-position model. The record is from RNAcentral.